CCUACGGGUGGCAGCAGUGGGGAAUAUUGCGCAAUGGGCGAAAGCCUGACGCAGCGACGCCGCGUGAGGGAUGAAGGUCUUCGGAUCGUAAACCUCUGUCAGCAGGGAAGAACGGUCACUGUGCUAAUCAGCAGUGAAUUGACGGUACCUGCAAAGGCAGCACCGGCUAACUCCGUGCCAGCAGCCGCGGUAAUACGGCGGGUGCGAGCGUUUAUCGGAAUUACUGGGCGUAAGGCGCUCGUAGGCGGUAUGUCAAGUCAAGGGUGAAAUCCCCGCGCUCAACGUGGGAACUGCCUUUGAAACUGGCAAACUGGAGUGUGUGAGAGGAUAGUGGAAUUCCAGGUGUAGGAGUGAAAGCCGUAGAUAUCUGGAGGAACAUCAGUGGCGAAGGCGACUAUCUGGCACAUAACUGACGCUGAGGAGCGAAAGCGUGGGUAGCAAACAGGAUUAGAUACCCUUGUAGUC
RNAcentral lists this ribosomal RNA (465 nucleotides) under uncultured bacterium. RNAcentral describes it as "partial 16S ribosomal RNA". It matches the Rfam family "Bacterial small subunit ribosomal RNA", at positions 338 to 795 of the family's 1533-position model. The record is from RNAcentral.